GACGAACGCUGGCGGCGUGCCUAACACAUGCAAGUAGAACGGUAAAGGCCUACCUUUGUGGGCUGCUUGAGUUGCGAACGGGUGAGUAACACGUAAGUAACCUGCCCUUGACUUUGGGAUAACUUCAGGAAACUGUGGCUAAUACCGGAUAAGAGUUCCUGCUGCAUGGCGGGGACUGGAAAGUUUCGGCGGCUGGGCAUGGACGCGCGGCUUCUCAGCAUGUGGGUGGGGUUGUGGCGAAGCAAGGCUUUGGCGGGUAGCCGGCCUGGGAGGGUGACCGGCCACAUUGGGACUCAGAUGCGGGCCGGACGGCUACGGGAGGCAUCAGUGGAGGAUAUAGCACGAUGGGCGGAGUGCUGAUGCAGCAAUGCCGCGUGCGAGAGGUCGGCCGUCGGGUUGGAAACCGCUUUCGCCUGUGACGAAGCGUGAGUGACGGUAAUUGGUAAAAAAGCACCGGCUAACUACGUG
This 468-nucleotide ribosomal RNA is filed under the name uncultured bacterium. Its description in RNAcentral is "partial 16S ribosomal RNA". It matches the Rfam family "Bacterial small subunit ribosomal RNA", at positions 28 to 507 of the family's 1533-position model. The record is from RNAcentral.